RNAcentral lists this ribosomal RNA (2043 nucleotides) under Salmonella enterica. RNAcentral describes it as "partial 23S ribosomal RNA". It matches the Rfam family "Bacterial large subunit ribosomal RNA", at positions 911 to 2925 of the family's 2925-position model. The record is from RNAcentral. Lineage: Bacteria; Pseudomonadati; Pseudomonadota; Gammaproteobacteria; Enterobacterales; Enterobacteriaceae.
UGUUUCGGCUAGGGGGCCAUCCCGGCUUACCAACCCGAUGCAAACUGCGAAUACCGGAGAAUGUUAUCACGGGAGACACACGGCGGGUGCUAACGUCCGUCGUGAAGAGGGAAACAACCCAGACCGCCAGCUAAGGUCCCAAAGUCAUGGUUAAGUGGGAAACGAUGUGGGAAGGCCCAGACAGCCAGGAUGUUGGCUUAGAAGCAGCCAUCAUUUAAAGAAAGCGUAAUAGCUCACUGGUCGAGUCGGCCUGCGCGGAAGAUGUAACGGGGCUAAACCAUGCACCGAAGCUGCGGCAGCGACACUGUGUGUUGUUGGGUAGGGGAGCGUUCUGUAAGCCUGUGAAGGUGUGCUGUGAGGCAUGCUGGAGGUAUCAGAAGUGCGAAUGCUGACAUAAGUAACGAUAAAGCGGGUGAAAAGCCCGCUCGCCGGAAGACCAAGGGUUCCUGUCCAACGUUAAUCGGGGCAGGGUGAGUCGACCCCUAAGGCGAGGCCGAAAGGCGUAGUCGAUGGGAAACGGGUUAAUAUUCCCGUACUUGGUGUUACUGCGAAGGGGGGACGGAGAAGGCUAUGUUGGCCGGGCGACGGUUGUCCCGGUUUAAGCGUGUAGGUGUGUGUUCCAGGUAAAUCCGGUUCACUUUAACACUGAGGCGUGAUGACGAGGCACUACGGUGCUGAAGCAACAAAUGCCCUGCUUCCAGGAAAAGCCUCUAAGCAUCAGGUAACAUCAAAUCGUACCCCAAACCGACACAGGUGGUCAGGUAGAGAAUACCAAGGCGCUUGAGAGAACUCGGGUGAAGGAACUAGGCAAAAUGGUGCCGUAACUUCGGGAGAAGGCACGCUGACACGUAGGUGAAGUGAUUUACUCACGGAGCUGAAGUCAGUCGAAGAUACCAGCUGGCUGCAACUGUUUAUUAAAAACACAGCACUGUGCAAACACGAAAGUGGACGUAUACGGUGUGACGCCUGCCCGGUGCCGGAAGGUUAAUUGAUGGGGUCAGCGCAAGCGAAGCUCCUGAUCGAAGCCCCGGUAAACGGCGGCCGUAACUAUAACGGUCCUAAGGUAGCGAAAUUCCUUGUCGGGUAAGUUCCGACCUGCACGAAUGGCGUAAUGAUGGCCAGGCUGUCUCCACCCGAGACUCAGUGAAAUUGAACUCGCUGUGAAGAUGCAGUGUACCCGCGGCAAGACGGAAAGACCCCGUGAACCUUUACUAUAGCUUGACACUGAACAUUGAGCCUUGAUGUGUAGGAUAGGUGGGAGGCUUUGAAGCGUGGACGCCAGUCUGCGUGGAGCCGACCUUGAAAUACCACCCUUUAAUGUUUGAUGUUCUAACGUGGACCCGUGAUCCGGGUUGCGGACAGUGUCUGGUGGGUAGUUUGACUGGGGCGGUCUCCUCCUAAAGAGUAACGGAGGAGCACGAAGGUUGGCUAAUCCUGGUCGGACAUCAGGAGGUUAGUGCAAUGGCAUAAGCCAGCUUGACUGCGAGCGUGACGGCGCGAGCAGGUGCGAAAGCAGGUCAUAGUGAUCCGGUGGUUCUGAAUGGAAGGGCCAUCGCUCAACGGAUAAAAGGUACUCCGGGGAUAACAGGCUGAUACCGCCCAAGAGUUCAUAUCGACGGCGGUGUUUGGCACCUCGAUGUCGGCUCAUCACAUCCUGGGGCUGAAGUAGGUCCCAAGGGUAUGGCUGUUCGCCAUUUAAAGUGGUACGCGAGCUGGGUUUAGAACGUCGUGAGACAGUUCGGUCCCUAUCUGCCGUGGGCGCUGGAGAACUGAGGGGGGCUGCUCCUAGUACGAGAGGACCGGAGUGGACGCAUCACUGGUGUUCGGGUUGUCAUGCCAAUGGCACUGCCCGGUAGCUAAAUGCGGAAGAGAUAAGUGCUGAAAGCAUCUAAGCACGAAACUUGCCCCGAGAUGAGUUCUCCCUGAGACUACGAGUCUCCUGAAGGAACGUUGAAGACGACGACGUUGAUAGGCCGGGUGUGUAAGCGCAGCGAUGCGUUGAGCUAACCGGUACUAAUGAACCGUGAGGCUUAACCUUACAAC